RNAcentral lists this ribosomal RNA (271 nucleotides) under uncultured prokaryote. RNAcentral's name for it is "partial 16S ribosomal RNA". It matches the Rfam family "Bacterial small subunit ribosomal RNA", at positions 524 to 792 of the family's 1533-position model. The record is from RNAcentral.
UACGGAGGGUGCAAGCGUUGUUCGGAAUUACUGGGCGUAAAGCGCGUGCAGGCGGCCUAUUAAGUCAGAUGUGAAAGCCCUCGGCUCAACCAAGGAACUGCAUUUGAAACUAGUAGGCUUGAGUACGGGAGAGGAGAGUGGAAUUCCCGGUGUAGAGGUGAAAUUCGUAGAUAUCGGGAAGAACACCGGUGGCGAAGGCGGCUACUCUGGACCGAUACUGACGCUGAGACGCGAAAGCGUGGGGAGCAAACAGGAUUAGAUACCCGGUGUA